UACGGAGGGAGCUAGCGUUGUUCGGAAUUACUGGGCGUAAAGCGCACGUAGGCGGCUAUUCAAGUCGGGGGUGAAAGCCCGGGGCUCAACCCCGGAACUGCCCUCGAAACUAGGUAGCUAGAAUCUUGGAGAGGCGAGUGGAAUUCCGAGUGUAGAGGUGAAAUUCGUAGAUAUUGGGAAGAACACCGGUGGCGAAGGCGGCGAGCUGGUCCAUUACUGACGCUGAGGCGCGACAGCGUGGGGAGCAAACAGG
RNAcentral lists this ribosomal RNA (253 nucleotides) under uncultured bacterium. RNAcentral's name for it is "partial 16S ribosomal RNA". It matches the Rfam family "Bacterial small subunit ribosomal RNA", at positions 524 to 776 of the family's 1533-position model. The record is from RNAcentral.